CAAGCCUACAUGACUUUUUGAUCCAGAAAAUAGUAGUCAUGUUUUGGUCAUUCUGAGAUAGUCAUGGAAAAUUACAACACAGAUGUUCAUACGGGAUCUUCCUUCUAUUGCCCAGUGCCCCGUGAAGCCCUUGAACAAAACCAGAAGAAAGUGAAAAAUAAACAGCCUUAUACGGUUGUCAUCAUCCUAUCCCCAGUGAUGGAGCCAUACUUGGGUCUGAAAUAUUUUGACACAGAUGAAGCAAGUCUUUGCAAUUUCCAAAGGAAAGGCUUCUGUGACACACUCUCUUGUUUGAAGGAGUGACAAUAACCUGAGAAUUGCUGGUAGUAUUAUUUGUUGUUAUUACUGUCAUCAAAAGAUAUUUAAUUAGAAUCUCUUUUAUAUGUGACUGAUAAAGCCAGUGAAAUGGUCACACUGAUUCUACAGUAAGCCAUUUUUGAGCACCUAUUAUACACAAAGCACUGUGCAGGAAGGUUGCAUAGUAAGUUGAGUGUGACCCAGACUCCAACUCUGAGAAGCUUAUAAUAGGGUGAAGGAGACAGAGACAGAAAGGCAGGCUCUUAAUCCAGGGAACUACAGGAGGUAAGCACAAGGGAGACAGAAGCAGAGGCGGGAGACGUGACUUAGCCUUACCUUCCGAAACUCCACACUGGCAUGAGGAAUAGUGAUAUGCACUUGUGGAGGAAUGGUCUAUAGAAUGAGGAUAAAGAGGUUAAAGUUUUGCGAUAUCUUUCAAUUAGUGAUUCUGUAACCAAAACCCAGAGAAGCAGGUUAUGAUGGAGUCAUCAGCAACACAUCCCUUUUUAGCUUAACUUAGGAGUUCUCUUAAAUCAGGGUGCUAAGUGGGAACCAAAAAAACCCCAGCUUUGUCUGUCCGAGCUUGCACUGACUGGGCCACGUCGGGUGGGUUGCUUAUUCAUUUGCCCAACGUAUUUUAUUCCAGUAAUCAUUCAUGGCAGUCACUCAAUGUCUCUGAGCACUAGUUUCUGCAAAACUUUAUGUAUGACAUAAAGUAUAACAUACUUUAUGCCCAUAGAAGUAUCUACUCUGUUGUGAGGGUAAAUUAGACAACAUAGCCAACCUGAAAAGUCUAAUUCUAAUGAAUUUGUAAUGAAAUAUUAUCCUAAGUGAUUAUUUCCUAAACCUGUAAAUGUAAUCAGUUUCUUAAUUAUCUGUGCAUGUUCACACAUAGUUAAAGACAUUAAGUUGAUGUGUUUCUAAAUUUCUUUUUUACAUCGUUAUGCAUUUUUUAUUCAUUCCACAGAUGUUUAGUAUGCAUUUAUUGUGUGCUAGAGCCUGGACAAAGGAUUAUGAAUGGUUACAAAGAGUCCCUUGGCUGAGUACUAUUUUAAAAGGGUUUAAUUUUAGAGGUGUUGCUUAUAGUUAUCUUUUUGAUAUUUUGGGGUUAAUUCUGUGUCUAAUUCUGUUAAUUUCUGGAAAACUAGUCAUAACAAACUGUGUGGUCCUACAAAGAUCACCCUAGCCAGGCAUGGGUAGGAGUGUCCUUUUGCACCUGUGUAGAAAUUUGCUGCCAUGUAGCCAUGAGUGGGCUGGGCUCUUUUGGGGUGGCUGGCCCUGGCAACAAACAUGCAGUUCAAAGUAUCAAAACGCUAUGUGUUUUCUGCUUCUAAGGGAUUCCGUGAAAGGUGCCACUACAAUCACCUGUCAACUUUGCAAGGAAUUUCCCAUCCAAAAUCAAUUUGUUCUCAAUGUUUUUUUCUACCUGGGAGAUCAUGCAUAGCCCACAGAUAGACUCUCUUGGCCAGAGAGACACUAUUACAAACUGGUGUUUCCUUGCUCUUCUUAUCUCAUUGCAGAAAAUGCAGUCUGCCCUGAAGAACUCUGGACUGUGCCCUAACAACAUUCAUUCUCUUCUUCAUUUCCAGUCUCACUGGCUUGCAAAUAGUGCUUCCUGCCUCUUUCUUGCUGUUUCCUCAUCCUUGAUUUUCAGGGUGGAAACCUCAAUUCAUUUCCUUGAAAUGGCAAAUUAUUGCAAAGGCAUCAAUUGGUUCUUGUCUAAGUGGACAAGCAAAACUGCACUCUGGCUGAGAUGAUGGAGACACUCACCUACCAUGAUGAGGGGAAGAAGCUGGAAGCUGGGUCAUCUUGCCAGCCACUUUCUAUGGUUAUUUCACUCUUUCUUUUACUCAUCCCUUUUCUUCUUGCAUUUAUGAUAUUUUGCCAAUCAGUUUUGAGUUCAUAAAGACACAAACCAUGUCUGACUCAUCUUCUAACAUCCUUUAAGCUCCAGCAGCUAGCACAGUUCUGGAAAAUGUCCACUAGACACUCAAGAGGUGAUUUUGCACUGAUUCAGCUGCCCUCCAACCACUGAUUAUUUUAGGUCAGGCGCUAGUGAGCAGUGCGGCCCAUCACCAAGGGACAGACAAAAGUCAAUUCAUCUAUAACAAAACUAGACCAACAAACUCGAUCUUACUAGCACCACUCUCAAAAAAACAAAGAAGACCAACCAUAAACAAAUGAAUAGACCAUAUCUGAAAAUAUAUGCGAUCCUGGAGGACUUGCAUUUACACUCUAUUUCCUAAACUAUAAAGAUUUGGGUGGUCCCUAUCUGGUGAGCUAUGCAACUUGGUAAUUUUAGGCAAAUUGCUUAAGAUCUCAAUGCCUUGGUGUAUUAGUCCAUUUUUUACACUGCUAUAAAGAACUACCUGAGACUGGGUAAUUUAUGAAGAAAGGAGGUUUAGUUGACUCAUGGUUCUGCAGGCUGUACAGGAAAUAUGGCUGUGGAGGCCUUAGGAAACUUACAAUCAUGGCAGAAGGUGAAGGGGAAGCAGGCACCAUCUUUACAUGGUCAGAGCAGGACAGAAAGGGGAAGUGCUACACACUUUCAAACAACCAGAUCUCAUGAGAACUCACUAUCACGAGAACAGCAAGGGGGAAUUCCGUCCCCAUGAUCCAUUCAUCUCCCACCAGGCCCUUCCUCCAAUACCAGGAAUUACAACAGGACAUGAGAUUGGAGUGGGAACACAGAACCAAAUCAUAUCACUUGGUAACUUCAUCUCAGUGAGAUGGGUGGAUAGCCAAUAUCAUGGCAUCCUUUGAAAUCUGAAAUUCUUUUAUUAUAUUUCUUCCAAUGAUCACUCAACAUUGACUGGUUGGAUAGGAUGAGCUGAAAAGCAAAAGUUUACAGUUUAAUUCAUUUCUAGAAAGAAAUAUUAAAAAUUUAUUUUAAGCAAGGUGCCACGCUGGGUGAUAGAGGUGAUAGAUGACAAUGCUUUUGUCACUGAGGGGUCCUUCUCUGGAUGGUGUCAUAAAAUUGUAUUAGAAUUCAGGAAAAAACAGCUAGAGAAAAAGCAGUUUAUCAGCACUUAUGGCACUGCCAUCUCAUCAUCAAAAUGAACUGUGCACAAUCAUGUCAUGGGUUUGUUAGGCAUGAGCUUUGCUGAGGCUAGACAGGCCUCACAUCUGUCACCUAAUGCCAAUUCACCUCCACACUCCCAGUACACAAAGGCCUUCUCCCUGGAGCCAAACUUCACUCUGCUUCCUCCAUGUGAGGUGAGACCUUACUCAGACUGUGCCCUCCAUCUGGGAGGUGUUUCUCCUGGGACUUGCUAUUUACCCCUUGGCCCCCAGCUUAUCAUCCACAGAAAUUCCACUGCCCUCCCUGGUUUCCAUCAGUGCUGGCUACUCCCUCCUCUCGUCCUUUUCAGCAACACUGUGGGAUCACAGCUUUCCAGGUGGAGAUUUCCCUCCCUGGGCCCUGACUUUCCCCAGGAUGAGAACUGCUCUCUAACUAACCUGCCGCUGUGCCAGCCCUUAGCAUAGAUGGGCAUGUGCACCUGCCAGGAAAACAGCUGCUCUUUAUCAAAGCCAAGUGGCACAGGUCCAUCAGAUGCUUUGCCUUCUGUAACCCCAGUAUUGAACAAGAAACAACUUCCCUGUACAAAAGCCAGUCUCACAUUUGGGAAGCUGACAUCCCCUUAAAUUCACCCCUUCUUAUAAUGCUAGAAAGACAUAGCUAAACGCUCGAACCUUGGGCAGCAUGUCAGGAAUCUGACAGAAAUGUGCAGAAAGCCAGGGCAAUCACAGCCUCUUCUCUAUCUAGGACUCCGCCUUUUCUUAUCUCCUUCUCCUCAGCAUAUUACAAUGGCCAUGUGCCCUCCCAUGGGACUGUCUUCUUCCUGAGGACAAGAACAGUGCCCCACCCAAUGCCUUAGAUCAUGCAAAGAGUGUACACAGACUGCAAGUACUAAGUUUAAUAUGAUUACUAACAUGUUGAACACUGCUCUAUGGACUUCACAUGUACCAACUCAUUUAAUUCUUAAAAUGAUCCAGUAAGGACGUGUAGUAGUCAGGCUUCCCCAGAAACAGAACCAAUGGGAGAUAUACCUAGAUAGAUAAAUAGGUACAUACAUACAUACAUACAUAGGCACACACACUUGUAUGUGUGUGUGUGUGUGUGUGUGUGUGUGUGUGUAUAUAUAUAAUAUGUAUGUGUAUAUGUGUAUAUGUGUAUAUAUGUGUGUGUAUAUAUCCACACAUAUAUACACACAUACAUAUAAUAUAUACACAUACAUUUACACACAUACAUAUAUGUUCAUGUGUAUAUAUGUGUGGAUAUACACACAUACAUAUACACAUAUACAUACAUACACACAUACAUAUGAUAAUAUGAUAUAUAUAUACACACAUACACGUGUGUGUGUGUGUGUGUGUGUGUGUGUGUGUGUGUGUCUAUAUAUGUAUCUCCUGUUGGUUCUGUUUCUGAGGGAGCCUGACCACUACACUUUCCUAUUGGGUAUUAUAUCACACAGCCUUUGUAAUAUGCCAAGGAGAAAGAGAUAGAGAAAAGGCAGAGUCAUAGAGAAGAGGUUGAGAUUCUCCUGGCUUUCUGCAUGUUUCUGUCAGAUUCCUGACAUGCUGCCCAAGGUUCCUGCCUUUAGCUAGGUCUUUCUAGCUAGGUGCAUUCAUAUACAUAUGCACACACACACACACACACAUACAUAUACACACAUACAUGUAUGUAUAUUAUGUGUGUACAUAGAUAUGCAUACAUAUACAUGCAUAUAUAUGUGUGUGUGUAUAUAAAAAUAUACAUAUAUGUAUAUAUAUUUCCUAUUGGUUCUGUUUUUGGGGAAGUCUGACCACAACACUCCCUUAUUGUGUUAUUUUGAGGGUUAAAUGAGUUGCUACAUGUGAAGGCCCUAGAGCAGUGUCCAUCGCGUUAGUAAUUAUAUUAAACUCAGGACGUGCAGUCUGCAUACAUAUACAUAUAUAUGUAUAAUAUCAGAGAGAGAUAGAGAUUGGUCUUAAAAAAUUGACUUAUGUGAUUUUAGGGGCUGCAAGUCCAUAACCUGCAGGGCAGGCAUGCAGGCUGAAGACUCAGGGAGAAGUUGAUGUUGCAGCUUGAGUCCAAAAGCAGUCUGGAGGCAGAAUCCCCUCUUCCUCGGGGCACGUCAGUCUUUUUCUCUUAAGGUUUUCAGCUUACUGGAUGAGUCCCACCCACACUAUGGAGGGUCAUCUGCUUUACCAAAAGUCCACUGAUUUAAAUGUUAAUCUCAUCUUAAACUACCUUCACGGAAACAUCCAGACUUGUAUUUAACCAAAUAUCUGGGUAUCAUAGCCUAGCCAAGUGGACACAUAAAAUUAAUGAUCACAGGAAGGUACCAUCUUUACCCUGACUUACAGAAGCAGAAAGGAAAACACAGAUUGUUUAAGUCACUAGCCCUGAGUCACACAGCAAUACGUAGUGCAAUUGGAAUUUGGCCUGGGCAGUCAUUCCAGGAACUUGUGUUCAUAAACCCUGAGCUAUGCCACCUUCCUGUGAAUUUCAGCAUGGUAUUCCUUAUUUUGGCAUGAGGCUGUAUAAAGGGAACUGCUGAAAACGAACCAUCUCUUUCUGAUAUUAUCAAGUGGGUGAUGUUAUAACACUGAACCAGAAAUGUAUUUCCAGGAAACAGAACCCAAAAGGAUGACUAUAUACUUAGUUUGGCCACAUAAUACCAGCCUGAACAUCAACUCAAACCAAUUCACCAAGCCCUUUGUGGCUGAGAGGAAGGCAUGGCUGUCAAGAGUUCUAGCUCGUCUGUUUUGGUUUUUGGCUUGGGCGUGUGUGUAGAUGUGGGUGUGUAGACGUGUAUGUGUAUGCGUGUGUGCGUAUGUGCAUGCAUCUUAAGGAAUCUGCUUCUGGUUCUUUGGGGACACUGAUGAUGAUGGAUUUCUCUAUUUCACCAUAUAUAAUUCCUUCCUGCUGCACAGGACAGAAUCCUAAGGGCUCCUAAGCCUGUUCCCAAGCUUCCAAAAGAGCACCAACUCACCGUAUGGUUAACAAACCUAGGUUUGAAUCCUACCUCUGUCACUUAUUAAGUCAAUAUUCUUGGACAAGUUCUUUACUCUCUCCAAGUUUGGUUCCAUCCCUACAAUGGGGCUGAUCAGAGCACUGACCUGGGAUGGUCACCGUGGGGACUCAGGAAUGAUGCACGUGUGGAAUGCAGCCCAGCACCUGGCAUGGGGCAUACACAGCAGAUGACAAACACCAUUCCAAAAGACAAUUACUGCUUCAUCAUUAACGUCUCCUCACCAAAACCUUUUCUAGGAAACAUGCCUAACCAAGGCAAGCUCCUCCUUCUGAGUUUAUAUAUACCUGGCCGGGCAUGGUGACACACACCUGUAAUCCCAGCACUUUGAGAGGCAGAGGCAGGCAGAUCACUUGAGGUCAGGAGUUCGGGACCAGCCUGGCCAACAUGGCAAAACCCCAUCUCUACUAAAAACACAAAAAUUAACCAGGUAUGCUGGCACAUGCCUGUAAUCUCAGCUACUUGGGUGGCUGAGGUGAAGAAUCACUCACACCUGGGAGGUGGAGGUUGCAGUGAGCCGAGAUUUUGCCACUGCACUUCAGCCUGGGUGGCAGCAGAAAGAGACUCUGUCAAAAAAAAAAUAGUCUAUAUAUACCUGUGGGCUGCAGAAGAGUCAGGAAUCCCAAAGGCUGGCUCCAGUGGGAACCUGUCUAGCUGGACCUUCCUUGCUCACCCCAUGCCCGGUGUUCAGCAGCCCACUUUGCCCCAGGACACCACCCCUGAGUGAAGCCCUCCACAUGCUGUCUCCGUACAGUGCUCAGUCACCUGUGGAGAUCCAUUCUUUCCAUAUGAAAGUGUGGCCCAGCUGGAGUCUCCACCGUGGUGUCUGUGGGACUGUGUCAAAUCUGGUUACCACUGCCCUCGUUCUGCUAGAGACAACUAUACCUUAAUCACCCCGUGUUUGUUCCAGGAGGAAAAUCCUGGAACUGAUCUUCUAUGGGGUACUAACUUUUCUCAGUCUUCUGUAGGAGAUUAAGUGAUUCUGUCUUCUGAGCUCUGACAUCAUUUCAAAUGUAUGAACAUUGGCCUGAAGCUUAAUAAAUUUCAGCCAUCGUAUAUUCUUAGCUUUUGCUUGGGCUGGCGUUCCUCUGCUUAACAAAAAACAGUCAUGAGCCAGAUGAAAGCAAUUUUCCCACAUGGCACCUUCAUCUUAUUUUCCAGUCUCUGAGUAAAAGACCGCACCUCUCACCUUGCAGCUAUCACAGAACAUGGGAACAUUGCCGUCUGCAUGCCUCUCACAGGAAAUCAUGCACAUUCCCCAAAUUCCCCACAGGACCCAGGGCCUCCCUGCUCCUGCCCCACACUGUGCAGAGCACAUCCGUGCGGAGGUGUGGAAGACUAGCCAGGCCAGAGACCAGCAAAGGUGGCUGUGUGGCUAGGGGCUGGCCUCCCUCAACACUGGACGAAUUGACGUUGAGCACGUACUAAGUCUAAGGAAAUCCAGCUGCAUGCUGGAUUUAUAGCUGUGUACAAGACAAGUAUCAGCCCUCCUGGUCUUACUUUUUGGGGAAUGCACAAUUAAUCACUUACAUCGCA
Molecule: long non-coding RNA, 7850 nt
Filed under: Homo sapiens (human)
Lineage: Eukaryota; Metazoa; Chordata; Mammalia; Primates; Hominidae
Description: HSALNT0300260
Source: RNAcentral